CUGGCUUUAGUUAUGAUGAAACAUUUGUUUUCUUUAAACCUUCUGGAAACAGUCAUGGGAUGCAGGGCACUGAAAAUGCAGCAGGAGUUUCUCCUGAAGAGGUUCACCUGAGCAGCUUUUCAAAGAGAGUGUAAAGCUCAGAGAUCCUACACAUAAUUGCAGCCUCCUGAAUGGUGUUUGCAAAAUCUGGCUAUUAGGUGGGAAGAUAAGGUAGAAAAGAGAAUCUUCACCUCUUGAAGAAAAUGAAAGUUUGUGCCAUAAGCAGAAGUCAAGGCCUGAAAUGUGGCCAUGUCACACAAAUCAAUGGCAGCUUGGCUCUGAGGAGGAACUUUUCCCUUCUGCAUGUGGCUUCUGGAUUACCUUCAUCUGCCUGACCUCACCCAAGGGCGUGGGUGGGACAGCAAAGCCUGCCAGGGGUCAUCAGUGCUUUGCCUUCAUUUCCAGGCACAACACAAGGAACAUGACAUCUGUGAAAAUGUGAGUCACUUGGAAAGCUUUUGGCUCUGAUUUGUCUGUAAAGAUCAUAACAGAGAAACAUCUGCUUCCCACAGUCUGUUACCAAUCUGCAGUGUGCUAAUUAUGGUGUGAUACAUUAAAUGGAGUUCUGAAGCAGUCUGCCCAUAGGACAAGCAUUCAGAUGAUUUAAAAACACUUCAUUAAAAGGAGGUUUUUUAGUA
Molecule: long non-coding RNA, 677 nt
Organism: Zonotrichia leucophrys gambelii
Lineage: Eukaryota; Metazoa; Chordata; Aves; Passeriformes; Passerellidae
Exons: 3
Source: RefSeq, a predicted model, not a curated record